RNAcentral lists this long non-coding RNA (236 nucleotides) under Daucus carota (carrot). Its description in RNAcentral is "long non-coding RNA (DCAR_LNC005276)". Lineage: Eukaryota; Viridiplantae; Streptophyta; Magnoliopsida; Apiales; Apiaceae. The record is from RNAcentral.
UGCAUUUCAUUUCUCUUAAAUUAUCUUUCAAAAAAGGCCGAGUUCAUUUCAUCAUAGACUAUUUAUUAAACAUUUGUCAAAAACUCUGUAAAUAAGAAGGCAUAUCUUCAUCCUGAAAAUUUCAUCGAAUGCAUAAGCAGAAGACUAAUACAGAUUGCAACUUGCAUUAAGAGCGGUGAAGGUAUGAAUUGUUUCAUGCUGGACUUGAAAAACUGCUAUAGAUUAAUUUAUAUCCG